AGGGUUUGAUUCUGGCUCAGGAUAAACGCUGGCGGCGCACAUAAGACAUGCAAGUCGAACGGACUUAAUCUUAAUAUUUAUAUUGAGAAGCGGUUAGUGGCGGACUGGUGAGUAACGCGUAAGCAAUCUGCCUAUUAGAGGGGAAUAACAGUGAGAAAUCAUUGCUAAUACCGCAUAUGCCAUAAGAACCACAUGGUUCUAGUGGGAAAGGAGUAAUCCGCUAAUAGAUGAGCUUGCGUCUGAUUAGCUAGUUGGUGUGGUAACGGCAUACCAAGGCAACGAUCAGUAGCCGGACUGAGAGGUUGAACGGCCACAUUGGGACUGAGAUACGGCCCAG
This 337-nucleotide ribosomal RNA is filed under the name uncultured bacterium. Its description in RNAcentral is "bacterial SSU rRNA". It matches the Rfam family "Bacterial small subunit ribosomal RNA", at positions 8 to 334 of the family's 1533-position model. The record is from RNAcentral.